CCUACGGGAGGCAGCAGUAAGGAAUAUUGGUCAAUGGGCGCAAGCCUGAACCAGCCAUGCCGCGUGCAGGAAGACGGCCCUACGGGUUGUAAACUGCUUUUGUACCGGAAUAAACCCCCGAUCGUGAUCGGGGCUGAAUGUACGGUAAGAAUAAGGAUCGGCUAACUCCGUGCCAGCAGCCGCGGUAAUACGGAGGAUCCAAGCGUUAUCCGGAUUUAUUGGGUUUAAAGGGUGCGUAGGCGGCCUGUUAAGUCAGGGGUGAAAGACGGUAGCUUAACUAUCGCAGUGCCUUUGAUACUGACGGGCUUGAAUGUACUUGAGGUAGGCGGAAUGUGACAAGUAGCGGUGAAAUGCAUAGAUAUGUCACAGAACACCAAUUGCGAAGGCAGCUUACUAAAGUAUGAUUGACGCUGAGGCACGAAAGCGUGGGGAUCAAACAGGAUUAGAUACCCUGGUAGUCCACGCCCUAAACCGAUGAAUACUCGAUGUUGGCGAUAUACGGCCAGCGUCUAAGCGAAAGCGUUAAGUAUUCCACCUGGGGAGUACGCCCGCAAGGGUGAAACUCAAAUGAAUUGACGG
Molecule: ribosomal RNA, 579 nt
Filed under: uncultured bacterium
Lineage: Bacteria
Description: bacterial SSU rRNA
Rfam family: Bacterial small subunit ribosomal RNA
Source: RNAcentral